RNAcentral lists this ribosomal RNA (469 nucleotides) under uncultured bacterium. RNAcentral's name for it is "bacterial SSU rRNA". It matches the Rfam family "Bacterial small subunit ribosomal RNA", at positions 10 to 523 of the family's 1533-position model. The record is from RNAcentral.
AGUUUGAUCCUGGCUCAGAGCGAACGCUGGCGGCAGGCUUAACACAUGCAAGUCGAACGGGCAUCUUCGGAUGUCAGUGGCAGACGGGUGAGUAACACGUGGGAACGUACCCUUCGGUUCGGAAUAACUCAGGGAAACUUGAGCUAAUACCGGAUACGCCCUUUUGGGGAAAGGUUUACUGCCGAAGGAUCGGCCCGCGUCUGAUUAGCUUGUUGGUGGGGUAACGGCCUACCAAGGCGACGAUCAGUAGCUGGUCUGAGAGGAUGAUCAGCCACACUGGGACUGAGACACGGCCCAGACUCCUACGGGAGGCAGCAGUGGGGAAUAUUGGACAAUGGGCGCAAGCCUGAUCCAGCCAUGCCGCGUGAGUAAUGAAGGCCUUAGGGUUGUAAAGCUCUUUUACCCGGGAUGAUAAUGACAGUACCGGGAGAAUAAGCCCCGGCUAACUCCGUGCCAGCAGCCGCGGUAA